Long non-coding RNA from Acipenser ruthenus (sterlet), 3384 nucleotides. RefSeq lists it as uncharacterized. The transcript has 2 exons. The record is from RefSeq and is a predicted model, not a curated record. Lineage: Eukaryota; Metazoa; Chordata; Actinopteri; Acipenseriformes; Acipenseridae.
UAUAUAUAUAUAUAUAUAUAUAUAUAUAUGUGUGUGUGUGUAUAUAUAUUAUAGUUAUCAUAGUAUUGAAUGAAUUAGAACUGUGUGCAUUUUAAUCCGAGUAAUGUCAUGAAUCACCAGACCUGCCUUUUACGCGCUGUUUUGUGUAACGGAAUUUAUUUGAAAUGUUACUAGAAGUGAUCGUGUAGCAUACCGUUCCAAAAUACAAAAAAUUCUAAGCGCCACAAAAAAAAAAGGUUGUUCAGACUUGGACAAGAAAAGAUUAAAUAAUGUAUAUCCUGACUUCUCUAAAAACGAAGGUAAUAUAGCCGAUUUGACAACCAUAUUAAAUCAAAGAGACAACACUUACUGUGUUCUGUUCACGUUCCUGGUCGCCAAAAGACAGUUCCAAACUUUGUGAACAAAUGCUAAGGCGUAAGUUUAUCCAUUUGAGUACGUGUCUUUAUUUUCAGGGGCUUACUUUACACUUGGGAAAGAACCAUUCAUUCAUGUUUUUUAGUAAGAAGUGUUGCGAAACAUUGCCGUCACCUUUUCAUGUUAAUAUGCUAUUGCUGUUUCUUGAACAAUUUGAGUUAGUGUUUGGAGUAAAACAACUAUUUUUUGUUUCUAUCGUUAACUGAUCGAAGCUAAGUGUUGCUGUUGCAAUUUAUAACACAAUUGCGAUAUCAAACAUAUAUAGACGUUAACAGAUACUUUGCAUAUGAAAAGCAACUUUAACUUAGUUGUGCGUUGCUUCACAGUAUCCUGGAAAAAUGUUACUGUUCCAUUAUCAGCCACCUCAAACCCGAAAUAUUUAUACUUCACUGUGCACAGAUUUAUAGGUUGUACAUUUUUUAGUCAAUCUGGAAGUAAGGAAGGGAGGGGGCUGUGUGUGUGCCUGUAUUUUAAGAUGUUACACUAUGUAACACGUUAAAGUAAAAAUAUAUAUAUAUAUCAGGAGUAAAGAUAAGCCUUACUUUACCCCAGUGAAUUAACUACAAAACAAAGAAAGCCAAAUAGCAGUUCAAUUUAAACAUUGUUUUGUUUAUUCCCGAAAUAAAUAGUACAUAAAGUUGAAACCAUUUUUUUUUUUUCAUUCCUUGCCAUUGCCGUCUCUUGACAUUAAACCGUGGCCAUAGACACGUUUUCCAAAAUUAAUAACAUAUUUACUUGUGCCUUUUGGUAGCUGAACAAGCAAACAAAAACUGAAAUUUAACUUUAAACACUUCAAAUAAAACAAACGUGGAAAUGGUGUUGUAAAAUGAAAGGGAAAAAACCCCCCACCGUUUUGGUUCUUGUUUAAUACACUCCACAUAACAGAAAGUCGCAACAAAAAAUAUAUAACAUAUACAAUAAGUACAAAAAUAACUUUACAACAUUUCCAGCAAACUUGGCACUGUUUAAGCCAGGCAUUUCAGCCUUUUUUCUGUCCCAUGAGAUUCUGGCUUGCUCUAAAGCAGCACAAGGCUUUUUUGAUCCAGAUGGCUGCCCAUAGAGAUGUGCGCACACAUAAUCUGGUUUGUUUACUUUUUGCUGUCUAAAACUUUUAAAUAGAGGCUCCAGCUGCUGUGUUGAUCCUGUGUUUAUAUAUAAUCUCACAUAUCACACACAACUCUUUUUCAUUUGCCAUUUUUGAAACUGUUGGGCAACUUCUGGUGAGGCGGUAAAUAAGUGCAAGGUAUUUUUGUCAUUUCUAGCGAAUAUGAACGUCUGAUUUUUGUAUACUAAUACAUGUCAAAAAAUAUUCAUUCAAAUAUUCGGGUACAUUAGUUCUGGAUAGUAAAGACAUCAAUAAUGACUAAUAAUUUAGUUGUUGUUGGUGCUGAUUGUUUCAGGUUAACCCCCUAAUUUUGAAUCCCAAUUACAGUAAUGCUAAUGUGCACUAUGCCUGUUGUAUCCAUGGAACAUGUGCUCAGUCUCAGAAUAAAGUUGUUUUUACUGGGAGUAGUAAUUCAAAACUUCUUGCUGACUUCAUCACAAGCAUAAUCAACUGUUUGAAGGACAUCAGCGGCUGUUGACAGAAAGAAAUGGUACAGAGAAGUUUAGUUGUGUUUGCCCCCAGUAAAGAACUGAACCAGCACAACACCAGAGAGAAUUUGUUGCGUCUAAGUACGGUGUUCAAAAGACAUUCUUGUCCAGCCAUGUAGUGGCCAGGGUAGGGUAAUUUUCUGCUGUCUAUUUGCUUGUACUUCAGUAAUACUGUUUUACGACCAACCAGUCCACCCUUAAUUCUCUGCAGAAUUAAAUUAAUGGUAGUAGUUCUGAUGUUGGGUAACAGUAGUUUUUUCCCCACAUUACCAUAGCUAGAUAGAGAAAGAAAUGCAGUAAUUUAAAAUAUCCCUACUAAUAGCCAUCAUAUUAAAUGUUAAAAGUGCUCCCCUCGAUUAUAAGUUUGAUAUUAGUUAUGUUGAUGCAGUUUUAAGAAAUGUAACUGAAGCAGCACUUCUCUUCCCUCUAAGAGCUUUGUGUCUUGUGGACACCCCCAACAUUUUCACUGGGACCCCCCAAAAAUGUCCUCUCGGACCUUUUUAGUUGCGAGUCCUGGACCCUCAGUGGGAAAAGGUUUUGGAAAGCCCUGAGCAGGGGUGUUCUUCUCAGAACACUUGUCUCACAAGUCACUGAUAGAAACUUCCACCAACUACUCCUCACCACUUUUCUUACCCCUCUCCUCAACACCAGAUACUGCUUUUUUUCAUACAUGGCAAACUAAAAAACAUAACAAAAGAAAAGCUUAAUUGAUAACAUUCAAGGUUUAGGGAAGACUACUGUACUGCAUGGCAUUGAGGUUGUUAAUAUCUGGAAUAUAACUUUUUCAGGCAUUGAAGUUCAUCAGAUAUGCACAUGGAUAAGUUUUCUAAAAUACGAACAUAAUGAUGCUUGUGAUGGGAUUUAUAUCAGUUGCAACAUUCAUCAAGAAAAAAAAAAAUGUUGCAGAACCCUGUACCCUGUUAACAUCUGGCAGCUGAAGUUACUGUUGCAGCAGACGUUGGUUUUCAUAAUGUUAUUGGUUGGUUUGCUUGUACACCAGAGAACAUUUUUGCUGAAGAGGAUUUUGUCAUUUCCUUGAAACCAUUAUUUUGUCAAGUUGUUUCACUGUGUAUUAAACAUUAUGCUUGUUUUCAGUAAACAUUUUGAUUGUAUCGUGGUUCAAACACAUGCAUAAAAGCGCUAAACUAAGUUGUCAACUUCAAGAGGUUUGUUCGGUCAUGCAAAGCUUUCAGUGCAAUGUGAAAGUCAAAUCAGUUCAGAAAAAUACAGAAGCAAACCAUUAUUUUUUGUACAAAAAAUUAACUGGGUUAAUUUGGAAAAAAGCCUGUUGUUGCACUCCUGAGAUCUGUAUUGUUUGUGAACCAUGCUGAACAUCUGUAUGUCAUGAACAUUAAAAUUCCUUUUUUUUGUUGGCUA